This 427-nucleotide ribosomal RNA is filed under the name uncultured bacterium. RNAcentral describes it as "bacterial SSU rRNA". It matches the Rfam family "Bacterial small subunit ribosomal RNA", at positions 355 to 774 of the family's 1533-position model. The record is from RNAcentral.
UGGGGAAUAUUGCGCAAUGGACGAAAGUCUGACGCAGCGACGCCGCGUGAGGGAUGAAGGUCUUCGGAUCGUAAACCUCUGUCAGAGGGGAAGAAACUACGGGGUGCUAAUCAGCUCCGUACUGACGGUACCCUCAAAGGAAGCACCGGCUAACUCCGUGCCAGCAGCCGCGGUAAUACGGAGGGUGCGAGCGUUAAUCGGAAUCACUGGGCGUAAAGCGCUCGUAGGCUGGUUGUUAAGUCAGAGGUGAAAUACCUAAGCUCAACUUAGGGGCUGCCGUUGAUACUGCAUAGCUGGAAUAUGGUUGCUGUUGGCGGAAUGUGUAGUGUAGCGGUGAAAUGCAUAGAUAUUACACAGAACACCUAUUGCGAAGGCAGCUGACAAAACCAUUAUUGACGCUGAGGCACGAAAGUGUGGGGAUCAAACA